Molecule: ribosomal RNA, 97 nt
Filed under: uncultured bacterium
Lineage: Bacteria
Description: partial 16S ribosomal RNA
Rfam family: Bacterial small subunit ribosomal RNA
Source: RNAcentral
CACACCGCCCGUCACACCAUGGGAGUGGGUUUCACCAGAAGUAGCUAGCCUAACCGCAAGGAGGGCGACUACCACGGUGAGAUUCAUGACUGGGGUG